RNAcentral lists this ribosomal RNA (253 nucleotides) under uncultured bacterium. RNAcentral describes it as "partial 16S ribosomal RNA". It matches the Rfam family "Bacterial small subunit ribosomal RNA", at positions 524 to 776 of the family's 1533-position model. The record is from RNAcentral.
UACAGAGGGUGCGAGCGUUAAUCGGAAUUACUGGGCGUAAAGCGUGCGUAGACGGUCAAGUAAGUCGGGUGUGAAAGCCCCGGGCUCAGCCUGGGAAUUGCAUUCGAGACUGCGUGGCUAGGGUGCGGAAGAGGGAAGCGGAAUUUCCGGUGUAGCGGUGAAAUGCGUAGAUAUCGGAAGGAACACCAGUGGCGAAAGCGGCUUCCUGGUCCAGCACCGACGUUCAGGCACGAAAGCGUGGGGAGCAAACAGG